This 496-nucleotide long non-coding RNA is filed under the name Musa acuminata (dwarf banana). RNAcentral describes it as "long non-coding RNA (MACU_LNC003671)". The record is from RNAcentral. Lineage: Eukaryota; Viridiplantae; Streptophyta; Magnoliopsida; Zingiberales; Musaceae.
GAGAAGCAGAGGCCUUUGCUAGUUUGCUUUGCCUGGGUUAGAGUUCCGGGCUCGAGUCAGGACUGAGGAAGAGAAGCAGCACAAGUGUCCGUAGGUCCCGCCGUCCCUCCUCUCUCUCUGUCUCUCUCCCCUUCUCUUCGUCACUGCUCGCUUGCUGUGUGCUCCCACCGUCUUCGGCCACUCUCCAGUUCAAGACUAAGCGCUGCCUCUUUCUCUCACUCUCUCUCCGCGUAGGUGCAGUCAGUUUCUAUCAUUCUCGUUCCCUUUCAUGCCUUUUCUUUUUGUUUCUUUGCCUCAAUUCCUCAGACUUGUGGUGUUUGCUUGCAGGUGUGAGCUAGAGAUGCGUGAGAUCAACCCCAAGAGAUGGUGGGGCCCGGCAGAGAUAGACUGGGGUAUAGCAUUGUGUUAGUUCCGAUUAAAUUUUGCCGCUAAGGUAUUAUUAUUAUUCAAUAUUACUAUUCGUAACUUACUCAUUACUCUUCAUAAUCUUAUUUUU